Molecule: ribosomal RNA, 730 nt
Filed under: uncultured bacterium
Lineage: Bacteria
Description: bacterial SSU rRNA
Rfam family: Bacterial small subunit ribosomal RNA
Source: RNAcentral
AACAGGAUUAGAUACCCUGGUAGUCCACGCUGUAAACGAUGUCGAUUUGGAGGUUGUGCCCUUGAGGCGUGGCUUCCGGAGCUAACGCGUUAAAUCGACCGCCUGGGGAGUACGGCCGCAAGGUUAAAACUCAAAUGAAUUGACGGGGGCCCGCACAAGCGGUGGAGCAUGUGGUUUAAUUCGAUGCAACGCGAAGAACCUUACCUGGUCUUGACAUCCACAGAACUUAGCAGAGAUGCUUUGGUGCCUUCGGGAACUGUGAGACAGGUGCUGCAUGGCUGUCGUCAGCUCGUGUUGUGAAAUGUUGGGUUAAGUCCCGCAACGAGCGCAACCCUUAUCCUUUGUUGCCAGCGGUUAGGCCGGGAACUCAAAGGAGACUGCCAGUGAUAAACUGGAGGAAGGUGGGGAUGACGUCAAGUCAUCAUGGCCCUUACGACCAGGGCUACACACGUGCUACAAUGGCAUAUACAAAGAGAAGCGACCUCGCGAGAGCAAGCGGACCUCAUAAAGUAUGUCGUAGUCCGGAUUGGAGUCUGCAACUCGACUCCAUGAAGUCGGAAUCGCUAGUAAUCGUAGAUCAGAAUGCUACGGUGAAUACGUUCCCGGGCCUUGUACACACCGCCCGUCACACCAUGGGAGUGGGUUGCAAAAGAAGUAGGUAGCUUAACCUUCGGGAGGGCGCUUACCACUUUGUGAUUCAUGACUGGGGUGAAGUCGUAACAAGGUAACC